RNAcentral lists this ribosomal RNA (221 nucleotides) under Aureobasidium pullulans. RNAcentral describes it as "partial 18S ribosomal RNA". The stretch from base 173 to 221 matches the Rfam family "5.8S ribosomal RNA", at positions 1 to 49 of the family's 154-position model. Lineage: Eukaryota; Fungi; Ascomycota; Dothideomycetes; Dothideales; Saccotheciaceae. The record is from RNAcentral.
AGGGUGCUCAGCGCCCGACCUCCACCCUUUGUUGUUAAAACUACCUUGUUGCUUUGGCGGGACCGCUCGGUCUCGAGCCGCUGGGGAUUCGUCCCAGGCGAGCGCCCGCCAGAGUUAAACCAAACUCUUGUUAUUUAACCGGUCGUCUGAGUUAAAAUUUUGAAUAAAUCAAAACUUUCAACAACGGAUCUCUUGGUUCUCGCAUCGAUGAAGAACGCAGC